This 402-nucleotide ribosomal RNA is filed under the name uncultured bacterium. RNAcentral's name for it is "bacterial SSU rRNA". It matches the Rfam family "Bacterial small subunit ribosomal RNA", at positions 32 to 426 of the family's 1533-position model. The record is from RNAcentral.
AAUCAACGCUGGCGGCGUGCCUCAGACAUGCAAGUCGAACGAUUAAAGCUCUCUUCGGAGAGUGUAUAGAGUGGCGCACGGGUGAGUAACACGUAAGUAAUCUACCUUCGAGUGGGGAAUAACACCGAGAAAUCGGUGCUAAUACCGCAUAAUGCAGCGGCAUCGCAAGAUGACAGUUGUUAAAGAUUUAUCGCUUGAAGAGGAGCUUGCGGCAGAUUAGCUAGUUGGUAAGGUAAUGGCUUACCAAGGCUACGAUCUGUAACCGGUCUAAGAGGACGGUCGGUCACACUGACACUGAAUAACGGGUCAGACUCCUACGGGAGGCAGCAGUCGGGAAUUUUGGGCAAUGGGCGAAAGCCUGACCCAGCAACGCCGCGUGAAGGAUGAAGUAUUUCGGUAUGU